CACCAAAAAGGAUAGGGCGUAUUUUCUCGGCAACUGAAUCUGCAAGUAUCAAACUCUAUUUGCCAUAGUUUGCAGGUAACAAUGUUUCUAUGGCACUUAAUUUUAUUACAAUGUCAAAUUUGUCGCAUGUACACCCAAGACCCUACACAAACUGUCGACUGGCAGACUGACGAGCUUGCGCACCUUAGUGCACAGUACCCACAUCCAGCUUGUGUACCCAAUAGAUUGCAUUUCCUCCACAUUGUGUGUUUAAAAUCAAUCCAAACAUGAGUGUAAAUAGUAGCGAGGAUGCAGCUCGAUAAGAGGCCAUAGCCGGGUAAGGUUGUUCUGUUGUACUGCUUUCAUGAUGGUUUAUAUAUUUAUUUGACAAUAAUAUUGCAGGCUAAUUCAUAUGCUAAAGAUUUGAUUAAUGUCCCACUUGAGCAAUACGAGGAAUUGAAGCUUGUAUGUGGGGAGGAUCAAGCAACUGGAAGUUUUGGAAAGUCUAUCUCAGAUGUUCAGUCUGAAAGUGUGGAUGAUGUUACAAGUACAAAAGAAUCAUCAAAGGGAAGUAAACAUGGAAAACGAAGCAGACCAUGGGAAGAUGUUCUCUCCAAGGUUGAUGGGUUGACUGAACAGGUUGGGAGAUUGACUGAAGCUUUAGUUGAUGAUAGCUUUGUUGAAAAGUU
Molecule: long non-coding RNA, 668 nt
Filed under: Aquilegia coerulea
Lineage: Eukaryota; Viridiplantae; Streptophyta; Magnoliopsida; Ranunculales; Ranunculaceae
Description: long non-coding RNA (ACOE_LNC001075)
Source: RNAcentral